This 519-nucleotide small RNA is filed under the name Pan troglodytes (chimpanzee). RNAcentral describes it as "processed transcript". The record is from RNAcentral. Lineage: Eukaryota; Metazoa; Chordata; Mammalia; Primates; Hominidae.
GGAUGAUCUGGGCAAGAUGACUUAUCUGACCAUGUGCAUCAAGGAGAGCUUCCGCCUCUACCCACCUGUGCCCCAGGUGUACCGCCAGCUCAGCAAGCCUGUCACCUUUGUGGAUGGCCGGUCUCUACCUGCAGGAACUGCAUUGGGCAGCAGUUUGCCAUGAGUGAGAUGAAGGUGGUCACAGCCAUGUGCUUGCUCCGCUUUGAGUUCUCUCUGGACCCCUCACGGCUGCCCAUCAAGAUGCCCCAGCUUGUCCUGCGCUCCAAGAAUGGCUUUCACCUCCACCUGAAGCCACUGGGCCCUGGGUCUGGGAAGUAGCUCUGAUGAGAAUGGGGUCCCAGAUGGCUCAGGCUGUGACCUCCCUGGGCACCACCCUCCCCAGGCUGGGUGUGGAGGAGUUGGGGCACCCUGCCUUCAGGAGGCUUGUAGUUUAGAAGGGAAGUAGGCAUUACCAUAGACGACUCCUAGAGGACAGUGCUAUGUAAAAAUGUGUGUCUAUAAAUGUUUAUCAUGCAUGUA